UCUCCGUUGGUGAACCAGCGGAGGGAUCAUUACCGAGUUUACAACUCCCAAACCCAAUGUGAACGUUACCAAACUGUUGCCUCGGCGGGGUCACGCCCCGGGUGCGUCGCAGCCCCGGAACCAGGCGCCCGCCGGAGGAACCAACCAAACUCUUUCUGUAGUCCCCUCGCGGACGUUAUUUCUUACAGCUCUGAGCAAAAAUUCAAAAUGAAUCAAAACUUUCAACAACGGAUCUCUUGGUUCUGGCAUCGAUGAAGAACGAGC
Molecule: unclassified non-coding RNA, 264 nt
Filed under: plant metagenome
Description: partial contains small subunit ribosomal RNA, internal transcribed spacer 1, and 5.8S ribosomal RNA
Source: RNAcentral